UGGCCCAGAUCGUUUACCGUGAAAAAAUUAGAGUGUUCAAAGCAGGCAGAUCCAAUUUUCUGCCACCGAAUACAUUAGCAUGGGAUAAUGGAAUAGGACCCUGUCCUCCUAUUUUCAGUUGGUUUGCCGCGAGGACCAGGGUAAUGAUUAAUAGGGAUAGUUGGGGGCAUUAAUAUUUAAUUGUCAGAGGUGAAAUUCUUGGAUUUAUGAAAGAUUAACUUCUGCGAAAGCAUCUGCCAAGGAUGUUUUCAUUAAUCAAGAACGAAAGUUAGGGGAUCGAAGACGAUCAGAUACCGUCGUAGUCUUAACCAUAAACGAUGCCGACCAGCGAUUAGGAGACGUUGAAUACAAAACACCACCAUGCGCAUUGCGGUCGUCUUUGGUGUCGCUCACAAGGCGGCACCGGGGCGGCUUAGCUCGCAUGGCACCGGUGAAUGACUCCCCUAGCAGCUUGUGAGAA
Molecule: ribosomal RNA, 460 nt
Filed under: Acanthamoeba genotype T3
Lineage: Eukaryota; Discosea; Longamoebia; Acanthamoebidae
Description: SSU rRNA
Rfam family: Eukaryotic small subunit ribosomal RNA
Source: RNAcentral